Molecule: long non-coding RNA, 74 nt
Organism: Maniola jurtina (meadow brown)
Lineage: Eukaryota; Metazoa; Arthropoda; Insecta; Lepidoptera; Nymphalidae
Exons: 3
Source: RefSeq, a predicted model, not a curated record
AUGGACUAAGGAGCCAGCACUGGCCGGUCAUUCGUUAUUUUAUAAAAGCUGAAAGAUUCUCUGCGUAUUUUCCC